Molecule: ribosomal RNA, 210 nt
Filed under: Dendrocoelum lacteum
Lineage: Eukaryota; Metazoa; Platyhelminthes; Tricladida; Dendrocoelidae
Description: partial ribosomal RNA large subunit
Rfam family: Eukaryotic large subunit ribosomal RNA
Source: RNAcentral
CAAUCUGGUAACUCAGUUACAAGAUAGAGGUGAGAGACAUGUUAAAUCGUGUUUCACUUUGUAUUGGUAGCCUCUUGUAGCGAAAGGGAAUCAGGUUAAUAUUCCUGAACUUGAACACGGAGAUUUGGUUGAUUCGUCAACACAAGGUGGUAACACAAGCUAUCUCAGAGACGUCAUCGGGAGUUUCGGGAAGAGUUCUCUUUUCUUUGU